ACGGUGUUUUUCGUCAAAACUGUUUAGACGGUGGGAGAGUCGACCGUCGACGGCUGAUUAUCGACCGGAACCGGAAUACCUGGAAGGCUACUUUAAUGGCGGUCGAGCCUUCUUUAUAAUCGACCGUUCAGAUUUCUGCCAAUAUCUUCGUCCGGAGUUUUUUAAGAAGGCCCGCUUUAUCCGGGCGCCAUUGGCUAAUUCUUAUCUGUCGGGACGGUACCGGCGGACGACAGAAGAAUUUCGGAACUUGGCCGGCAGUAGGAUUGGAAGGGCGCGCUUUAUCGCCUUUAAAAACUGCGAAAGUCGAUGACAGGCCGAUGGUUUAAAGGUCGGUCAUUCGAGACUAUACAAAUACUAAAUAAUGCCGGAGGCAGACUUUGAAACAUUUCUAAGGCCAGAUUCGGGUGCCGUCUCGCGCGCCUCUUUCCCCUUCUACCACACUUCGGCUAGGCGGACUAUUUUAGCGCUUCGGUAACGUACCGACGCCACGCUGAUUGGUCGGCGGAGAAAACCGGUCGCUGCCACUUUCUCUCCGAGGGGAGGUGGAUCUCCCUUCCAGCAGUCCGUACAGACCACGUGCCACCGUAGGACGCCAGUCGGACUACCCGUGUCGUUGGUUCCAGGAUAUCGCGGACACACGGUACCGAAAAUGGUGGCCGACGGGUAAUAUCCGUUGCCGGGACCAUGGACGGUUCCGCCUACCAUAAAGACGCUUACACGGAGAUCGAGAAGUAUCUGGAAAGGGCUCAGGUAAGAAAAACUAUUUUCUUUUUUUUUGCCCUAGUUUAUUAUCCUACAUUCCGGACUACAAAAGCCUGGCACCCGGGAAGGCCGGAGUAUCGACUACGAUAUAAAGGAAAGAAUUUCUUCCCAGAAAAUAUGACCGGGUAGAGUCGGCCGAAAAAAAAAAAAGAAAAGAAAGACCGGAUAGAUGGGGGCGAAUAAAGGAAAGAAAUGUUCGGCAGUCUACCCGAAACUGACCUCGGAUAACAUCUGGCUAUCGAUUAACGCGUGUACCGGAAGCUGGAUCCGGGGUCGGACAGCGAAAAAUAAACUGGCUACUGGAAACGGAAGCCGCCUGGGAAUUGGUGGAGGAGACGUAGGCCGGCUUUAAUCGUUGUUGUAGGAAACAACAUAUGAUUUACUUUUCCCGACUUUAUCGGACACGGCGAGGUUACGGCCCACCGAGAAGGAAAGAAAAACUGUGUUGGCCCCGGUAAAAGCUGUGGACGGGACCACCAAUCUGGAGUUUGGCGUAUGUCUCCAAUUUAAACGAGUCGGGAAAAUAGAAAAUAUACGCGACUGGACGAACGAUUAAAGUGGGCGGAAUUGAUAAAUUAAAUUUUUUUCCCUCCGACCCGUGGGGGCUGGACCUUCUAAACGGAAUUAGUUUAUCUCGGCCGAUCGGCGGACCACCUAAGUAGAUUUCUCGGCCGGCCGACUACCGUAACAUUUCCGGGAAUAAGUCCGGCUAGGGUUUUUAAGGGGCGGAGGGGACGGACCGGCCCACCGUCCGUGGCCCGCCGCUUCUCCCGACGUUCCGAGAUGCCAAAAUACCACGGGUAGGACCAGGGAAGAAUAUCCAAAAUACAAUACCGAGAUUCUUAUUUUUAAGCCAGUAAUGGGUGCAAACCGGUCGAAUUCCCAGACCGUUCUAUAGAAAAAAAAUAUUCGAAUCGGUUUUUGUCCUACUUCCCGUUCCCGGAGUAGUUAAUCGCGUACACCUCCUUCCUCACCGUCGGGCCUCGGGUACGGGCCCCAGCCUUUCCGUCGACGGGGAAAGGUCAACUCGUCGCUUUCCGUCGGUCGGUCCGGGCCGAGAUACACUUUUCCACCGUCGGCUACGACUUUAAUCCGCUCGACGGUGACCGCCUGGAAACGCUUCGGCUUUCCACUCCGGAGGACCCGGAUUCCGGUCUCGGGUCCCAGCCCCUUAAAAGUAUUUAUGACGGGGUCCCGGCCGGGCCCUUCGGUCCCCGUCCG
RNAcentral lists this long non-coding RNA (1983 nucleotides) under Androctonus crassicauda. Lineage: Eukaryota; Metazoa; Arthropoda; Arachnida; Scorpiones; Buthidae. The record is from RNAcentral.